This 440-nucleotide ribosomal RNA is filed under the name uncultured bacterium. Its description in RNAcentral is "partial 16S ribosomal RNA". It matches the Rfam family "Bacterial small subunit ribosomal RNA", at positions 338 to 795 of the family's 1533-position model. The record is from RNAcentral.
CCUACGGGAGGCAGCAGUGGGGAAUAUUGCACAAUGGGGGAAACCCUGAUGCAGCGACGCCGCGUGAGUGAAGAAGUAUUUCGGUAUGUAAAGCUCUAUCAGCAGGGAAGAAAAUGACGGUACCUGUUUAAGAAGCCCCGGCUAACUACGUGCCAGCAGCCGCGGUAAUACGUAGGGGGCAAGCGUUAUCCGGAUUUACUGGGUGUAAAGGGAGCGUAGACGGCAGCACAAGUCUGGAGGGAAAUGCCGGGGCUUAACCCCGGAACGGCUUUGGAAACUGUGCAGCUAGAGUGCAGGAGAGGUAAGUGGAAUUCCUAGUGUAGCGGUGAAAUGCGUAGAUAUUAGGAGGAACACCAGUGGCGAAGGCGGCUUACUGGACUGUAACUGACGUUGAGGCUCGAAAGCGUGGGGAGCAAACAGGAUUAGAUACCCGUGUAGUC